This 497-nucleotide ribosomal RNA is filed under the name uncultured bacterium. RNAcentral describes it as "partial 16S ribosomal RNA". It matches the Rfam family "Bacterial small subunit ribosomal RNA", at positions 28 to 507 of the family's 1533-position model. The record is from RNAcentral.
GAUGAACGCUGGCGGCGUGCCUAAUACAUGCAAGUCGAACGAACGGACUCGUAGUUUGCUUCUCUGACGUUAGCCGCGGGCGGGUGUGUAACGCGUGGAUACCCUACCUAUCAUACUGGUAUAACUUCGGGAAACCGGAGCUAAUACCGGAUAAUAUUUUGAACCGCAUGGUUCAAGAGUGAAAGACGGUCUUGCUGUCACUUAUAGAUGUAUCCGCGCUGCAUUAGCUAGUUGGUAAGGUAACGGCUUACCAAGGCAACGAUGCAUAGCCGAACUGAGAGGGUGAUCGGCCACACUGGAACUGAGACACGGUCCAGACUCCUGCGGGAGGCAGCAGUAGGGAAUCUUCCGCAAUGGGCGAAAGCCUGACGGAGCAACGCCGCGUGAGUGAUGAAGGUCUUCGGAUCGUAAAACUCUGUUAUUAGGGAAGAACAUAUGUGUAAGUAACUGUGCACAUCUUGACGGUACCUAAUCAGAAAGCCACGGCUAACUACGUG